Brassica napus (rape) is the source of this 3047-nucleotide long non-coding RNA. RefSeq lists it as uncharacterized. The record is from RefSeq and is a predicted model, not a curated record. Lineage: Eukaryota; Viridiplantae; Streptophyta; Magnoliopsida; Brassicales; Brassicaceae. The transcript has 2 exons.
UUUUGGACGGACCUGCUUUAGAGCGGGCCCAGCAGCUCUUAGUUUAAAUUUUUUGUCUGGUUUGACUGAGAAUCUUUCACCGGACCAGCUGUAACACGAUUAAUGUGAUAUUACGAAUCGGAAUUACGUUUUCUUUUCGGUUUAAACUGGUUAAUUAUUCUCGGUAACAUCAUUUUUUUAAUCCUUUGGGCCCAAACGAUUCUUACAUAGUAUAUAGUUGGGCUAAUUUGUUAGACGUAAACUUUAUACUAUUACUGUAUUCCUGCAGCGUCCGGAUGUUUUAUUCUCUAGUGAUUCAAUUGAUAGUGUUUAGUGACAGGAGUACAAGUGUUUUUCAUUGAACGAUUCAAUAAAAAUAGAAUAAAUAGCUGAUAGUUGCACAAAAUUAAAUAUAGUUGAGCUUAAAACAUAAAGUAAACAGGAAAAACGUGUAAAUGCAUGUGUUUGCUAUGCUGAUUGUUUGUCAUUAGGCUAUUCAUGUAUGUUAUUUGUUAUUUGUUUUUUUUUUGUUUUUUGAAAAGUAUGUGACGUGUUUGUUAUUGGUGCCUUUGGAAUUGAUUCAUAAUAGUGUGGUAGAAUUGUUCUUUUGGAGUCGUAUAAAUUUUCCUUGAUAGAUAUUUGUUUGUUUUUUGGUUAAACUAUUGAGUUUUUAAUGUAUUGUAUAAACGUUGAUUUUAUGUAGUAUAUAUGUUUGAGAAAAGAAAGUUAGACAAAAAGUAAUUGUAAAAGAGUAAUAAUAUUUUUAUAUUUGUGGCCAACAUAAAUAUACAAAUAAUUGUUAUUGUUGAAGUACAUAAAAGUAUUUGGGAUAUAAUGUUCAAAUGUUAAGCAAUAAAAAGUGAUUCACCGCGUAUCAAUUGAAGUAGAUGAAUUUGAUCAUUUGCUUAUAGAAAUAACAGUUUUUGUAUCUCUUGUUGAUGUUGUUUGGAUGACAUUAUAUUAUAACAUUAGUUGCUCGUAAAGUGAUAAAGUAGCACUUAAAUUUUUUAAUUAAUAUUUCAUGCAAUAUUUUCUUAAUGCGAUGGACUCUAGCAUAGAUCGCCAAGCUUAUAGUCUUGCGUCCAACCAAUUUUAUCAAUGUAGGUUUCUCUUAUAUUUUUUCACCUUUGCGAAGCAUUGUUAUACUGUAUACAUAAACUGUACCUAGAGACAACCGUCUACUGAUGUUUGUAGGUGAUGGAAGCCAUUGUCAGAGUUGUUUUUUUAUCAAAAUAUUCUUGAAUGCUUUUUACAUGAAGAAUUUAUAAGUUUCUAGCUGAUAAACAUUUUGUCAUAAAAUCGUUAGAAAAGUAAGUGGAUGGAUGGUCAAUAGUUUGAUGGUCAUUUCUUAGUUUUUAUUCUUAUGAAUUUUAUAUUUUUAUUCUUAAAAUUUAUAUGCUUUGAGUUAUAUUUUAUUUUUACAGUUUAUUAUUUUAUAUUGUAUAUUUGAAUAUAUAUUCAUCUUUAAAUACAAUUAUCCAUCUUAUAACUUAUUAAAUUCUUUAAUUUGGUUUUGCUAACCAAAUAACUUUUUUCGUGUGAUUCAAUUAUUAUUUUUAUUGAUCUGGAAUUUAUAAAACACGUAAAGCAAUCUUAUAAUGAAUUUCUCUUCUUUUGGUUUUAAUUCAUUUUUCUGUUUAUUAUAUUAUGUAUUUUGUCCAAAUUAUUAGUUGUCACAGUUCAAGUUAUAGAUUGUCACAAAAUUAUCAUUUUUAUUUGUUGUAGUUCGUUUAUUUUAUUUUCCAAAAAAAAAAAUGUUCUGAUUAUGUAAUAAUAUUUGAUUAUUGUUUUUUUUUCUAAGCUUUGGCUGGGAUUCACUCUUUGUAUGGAUUUGAUAAAACCUGAAAGACAAUAUUUUAAAUAUUUUUUAUGUCAACAUUUUUCUUGUUGAAAUUAAUUUGUUUAAAAUUUAUUAUGUAUUUUUACUGAAUUACUGUACGUUAGCAGCAAAUUGAAAAACCAGUACAAUAUCAAACAAUAAAUAAAAGGGGAAUAAGAGUAUGUCCACGUCAGCUUGGAAAAUCGUCCAAUAGAGAGGUUGUUUUUUGCCACGUCACACACGGAUUUAUUUGGGUAUUGUUGGGCUUCUCUCUUUUUUGACCCGUUUUGUUUGAUUUGUCUGGCCCAUUAAGUCCAAUCAAAAGGAAACUCUAAAAAGCUGAGACGCUGAACGAUGAUGAAUCCCUCCCCUUUCGUGUUGUUCUUCGUCGUUUCCACUUCUCCAACUGGCGUCUCAUCUUCUUCUCUAUUGCUCCACUGUAACGUCAGCCACCAAUCCAUCUCUCUCAUUAAACCCCCUUCUGCACUCCUUCAAUCGUAAGCCAUCGAAGCAUUCUGGCUCCCUUCGUUUGUCACCCACUCUCCCUAAACUAACUAUAUAAACAUAUGGUGAUAUUCAAGAUCGAAAAUACUCCACAUCGUCAUCUCCAGAAGAAGUGUUAAUUUUCCUUCCAGAGGCUGAUAAACUCCAAAUUGAGGAGACAAUUAUAUAAAGGUGUGCAUCUUCAGUUCUAUUUGACCUUCGGUUCUAUUUGCUUCUUAAUUCAGAAAAUUUUGAUGACGAGGAUGACGAGGAUGAAGAAGAUCAACAAAAGAAGAGCAGAAAGUUGGUACUAUGUGGUUAAAGGGUUUACUCUACAAAGACCAAAAACAGAGUGAUGAUGCGUUGGAUCACGACAUGACUUAUAUAGUAUUCAGAGGAGAAGAUUUCAAUUGAUAUCCACCCAUGGAUGUCUCACUGUCUGCUUAUCACUUUGCCCUUCACGUGAACUUUGUUAUUCCAAAAUAGAGCUCUUUAUGUUUUUCUGUUUCUUUUACAUUAUGCAAGUGUCUCUCAUACAUCAGUCACAAUACCUGGAAGUGAUUCAGCCAUUGGAUUUAUAUUGAGUCUAUACGGAAUUCAUUUAUGGUGCAUCAAUACAAAAGUUUGGUUUUUAUGUAACACUGGAAUCUCCGAUCCGAUCGGGACUAGCUUAUAGAUUAUUGUAGUCGGCAUCGGCUCUAUACGCUCCCAUUGUUUUUUUUUGUGAAACAGAGAAAGUAAAUAAAAAUUGAAAAUCGUUGAGCGA